AUUGAACGCUGGCGGCAUGCUUUACACAUGCAAGUCGAACGGCAGCGCGGGCUUCGGCCUGGCGGCGAGUGGCGAACGGGUGCGUAAUUCAUCGGAACGUGCCCAGUAGUGGGGGAUAGCCCGUCGAAAGCCGGAUUAAUACCGCAUACGACCUGAGGGUGAAAGCGGGGGACCGAAAGGCCUCGCGCUAUUGGACCGGCCGAUGUCGGAUUAGCUAGUUGGUGGGGUAAAGGCUUACCAAGGCGACGAUCCGUAGCUGGUCUGAGAGGACGACCAGCCACACUGGGAAUGAGACACGGCCCAGACUCCUACGGGAGGCAGCAGUGGGGAAUUUUGGACAAUGGGGGCAACCCUGAUCCAGCCAUGCCGCGUGCGGGAAGAAGGCCUUCGGGUUGUAAACCGCUUUUGUUCGGGAAGAAAUCCUCUGGGCUAAUACCCCGGGGGGAUGACGGUACCGGAAGAAUAAGCACCGGCUAACUACGUG
This 484-nucleotide ribosomal RNA is filed under the name uncultured bacterium. RNAcentral describes it as "partial 16S ribosomal RNA". It matches the Rfam family "Bacterial small subunit ribosomal RNA", at positions 28 to 507 of the family's 1533-position model. The record is from RNAcentral.